This 642-nucleotide ribosomal RNA is filed under the name uncultured Lachnospiraceae bacterium. RNAcentral describes it as "bacterial SSU rRNA". It matches the Rfam family "Bacterial small subunit ribosomal RNA", at positions 87 to 747 of the family's 1533-position model. The record is from RNAcentral. Lineage: Bacteria; Bacillati; Bacillota; Clostridia; Lachnospirales; Lachnospiraceae.
UUGACUGAGUGGCGGACGGGUGAGUAACGCGUGGAUAACCUGCCUCACACUGGGGGAUAACAGUUAGAAAUGGCUGCUAAUACCGCAUAAGCGCACAGUACCGCAUGGUACGGUGUGAAAAACCCAGGUGGUGUGAGAUGGAUCCGCGUCUGAUUAGCCAGUUGGCGGGGUAACGGCCCACCAAAGCGACGAUCAGUAGCCGACCUGAGAGGGUGACCGGCCACAUUGGGACUGAGACACGGCCCAAACUCCUACGGGAGGCAGCAGUGGGGAAUAUUGCACAAUGGGGGAAACCCUGAUGCAGCGACGCCGCGUGAGUGAAGAAGUAUUUCGGUAUGUAAAGCUCUAUCAGCAGGGAAGAAUUAGGACGGUACCUGACUAAGAAGCACCGGCUAAAUACGUGCCAGCAGCCGCGGUAAUACGUAUGGUGCAAGCGUUAUCCGGAUUUACUGGGUGUAAAGGGAGCGUAGACGGAGAGGCAAGUCUGAUGUGAAAACCCGGGGCUCAACCCCGGGACUGCAUUGGAAACUGUUUUUCUAGAGUGUCGGAGAGGUAAGUGGAAUUCCUAGUGUAGCGGUGAAAUGCGUAGAUAUUAGGAGGACACCAGUGGCGAAGGCGGCUUACUGGACGAUGACUGACGUU